GUGGGGAAUUUUGGACAAUGGGCGCAAGCCUGAUCCAGCAAUGCCGCGUGCAGGAAGAAGGCCUUCGGGUUGUAAACUGCUUUUGUACGGAACGAAACGGUCCGGGUUAAUACCCUGGGCUAAUGACGGUACCGUAAGAAUAAGCACCGGCUAACUACGUGCCAGCAGCCGCGGUAAUACGUAGGGUGCAAGCGUUAAUCGGAAUUACUGGGCGUAAAGCGUGCGCAGGCGGUUUUGUAAGACAGGCGUGAAAUCCCCGGGCUCAACCUGGGAAUUGCGCUUGUGACUGCAAGGCUGGAGUGCGGCAGCGGGGGAUGGAAUUCCGCGUGUAGCAGUGAAAUGCGUAGAUAUGCGGAGGAACACCGAUGGCGAAGGCAAUCCCCUGGGCCUGCACUGACGCUCAUGCACGAAAGCGUGGGGAGCAAACAGGAUUAGAUACCCGAGUAGUCC
RNAcentral lists this ribosomal RNA (450 nucleotides) under uncultured bacterium. RNAcentral describes it as "partial 16S ribosomal RNA". It matches the Rfam family "Bacterial small subunit ribosomal RNA", at positions 354 to 796 of the family's 1533-position model. The record is from RNAcentral.